Long non-coding RNA from Hippocampus zosterae (dwarf seahorse), 906 nucleotides. RefSeq lists it as uncharacterized. The transcript has 2 exons. NCBI's taxonomy places the organism in Eukaryota, Metazoa, Chordata, Actinopteri, Syngnathiformes, Syngnathidae. The record is from RefSeq and is a predicted model, not a curated record.
CAGUGUGAAGUAAUUUCAUGAAAGGCCGAAUAGGGUCACAAUGAAAGUAUUUAAACAUUGUCCACCAAAUAAAGCAUGAAAAAAUAAUUUAUAUGUUGUAUAUUUGACAAAAUAGAUUUUCCGAAGUUCCAGCCUGCAAAUGGAGGAACCAGGAAAUGAUACGUCACGUGGAGAACAGUGAUGGCAGAGCUCCAUACAACCGAGAUGCAAAGCAUUUCAAACAGUGAUUCAAACAGCGAUCCAAGCGAUCGAUUGCAAGUGAGUAUAUCUAAGUUUUUGAAGAGUUGAGGGAAGAAGAGGAGGUUGGAAUUUUACAUGUUGGACCUUACAUGUACGAGCCAGACGCUAAUCAGGAUGCAAACAAUGUGCCCGGACGACCUGACAUGGAAUGGAGACAAGACCCAUCGAGAUUACAAGAUUGGUGUACUUGUGGUAAAUGCCAGCAAAUGCCUACAGCAGUUGAAUGUGCUUGCUGCCAUGAAAUUCAAGAAGUAGUGACUGUAUGUCGACAAGGAGAGGAACACUUCAAUCAGGUGCUGGACUGCAUCACCGACCAUCCUGGACUCAAUGCUGUGUGCCUAGACCCAUAUGGAUGACAGGUGGGAUGGAUGACCAACAAGCAGCAGUACAAAGGCAGGGCAUUUGAUGGGUCACAGGAAUCGCUGGUGCUGGAAGUUUCUUGGUCAGGACAACCGUGUUGUGCUCCCAGCACGCACUGUGUCUUGUAUCAGGGCACAUUUUCCAUCAACAGGAGAAGAGGAGUCAGCUGUAUUCAAAGGGUUUUCGAGUUUCACAGAGAAAUGUUCCAGAACUGUGAUUUGGAUUGGUUUUAGAGUUGUUAAUGUGGACAUGUUGUCUAUCAUAACAAAAUACUGUAAUAAAAAUAAACAAAUGAGGACAACUGAA